This 512-nucleotide ribosomal RNA is filed under the name Scrupus sp. FC-2012. RNAcentral describes it as "partial 16S ribosomal RNA". It matches the Rfam family "Bacterial large subunit ribosomal RNA", at positions 1811 to 2608 of the family's 2925-position model. The record is from RNAcentral. Lineage: Eukaryota; Metazoa; Mollusca; Gastropoda; Littorinimorpha; Tornidae.
AAACAUGUCUCUUUGAAGAAUUUUUAUAUAAAGAGUUGAGCCUGCCCAGUGAUAUUUUUAACGGCCGCGGUACUCUGACCGUGCAAAGGUAGCAUAAUCAUUUGCCUUAUGAUUGAAGGCUUGUAUGAAUGGUUUGACAAGAGCAUUGUUGUCUCCUGAAGAUUUUAUAGAAUUUAGUUUCUAGGUGAGGAAACUUAGAUUAAAUUGAAAGACAAGAAGACCCUAUCGAGCUUUAAAAUAGUUUUUAGGUAGUAAAUAAAAGUUCUAAUAAGGAUUUUGGUUGGGGCGACUGAGGAACUUUAAGCUUCUUUUUAGAAGUGAUAACUAAUAAGGUUAUGAUCCAGAAUGUCUGAAUAAAGGAAUUAGUUACCGUAGGGAUAACAGCAUAAUUUUUCUUAAGAGUUCUUAUUGAAAGAAAAGUUUGUGACCUCGAUGUUGGACUAGAAUAUCCUAAAGAUGCAGAAGUCUUUGAUGGUUGGCCUGUUCGGCCAGUAAUAUUCUACAUGAUCUGA